AUGGGGAAUAUCCCAAUGAUGUCUCUUCUCAUUGAUCUUGCCAAUGGUCAGGGCAUUAACAAUGGUAAAGGGCUGCUGGAGACACAAAACAAGCUCAAAGAGACAGCCUUGCAUGAGGCCGUCCGCAUUGAGAACAAUGAUAUGGUCAACUUGCUCAUGACCCAUGCUCCAGAGUUGGCCACCAUUCCUGCUGAAGGUACUUCGCCAUUGUAUCUUGCCAUCUUAAUGGAAAAUAAAAUCGUCGCCAAAACACUCUACGAGUUGAGCAGUGGGGUUCUUUCAUACUCUGGACCGAAUGGACAAAAUGCGUUGCACAUUGCUGUUCAGCGGAGCCAAGAUCUCACGAAGAUGUUAUUAGAAUGGAACAAUGACCUUACACUACAAGGGGAUGCAAACGGAAGUAUACCUCUCCAAUUCGCCAUUGUAAGAUACAGCCAACCCAUAUGUUUAGAAUUAUUGAAAGUCAAUCCAGAUGCACUGUAUCAACCAGACUCCAAUGGAUCAUUUCCAACACACGUGGCUGCAUCCGUUGGUGCAACAUCGAUCAUCACUGAUUUUCUUAUGAAGUCACCCCAUUGCGCUGGCUUUCUUGAUGCUAGGGGAAGGACAUUUCUUCAUGUUGCUGUUGACAAAAUGAAAAUAGGGAUUGUCGACUAUGCUUGUCAAAACAUAUCGCUGUCAUGGAUUUUGAAUAUGCAAGACAAAGAUGGGAACACUAUACUGCACCUAGCUAUAAGAAAAGGAAGUCUGCAGAUGUUUGGUUCUCUGUUCAGGAAUAGACAAGUACACUUGAACUUGAUGAAUGAGAAAGGGAGAUAUAGCGUGUCAAAAUCUUCCUAA
Molecule: ribosomal RNA, 840 nt
Filed under: Triticum aestivum (bread wheat)
Lineage: Eukaryota; Viridiplantae; Streptophyta; Magnoliopsida; Poales; Poaceae
Description: partial small subunit ribosomal RNA
Source: RNAcentral